RNAcentral lists this long non-coding RNA (278 nucleotides) under Gossypium barbadense (sea-island cotton). Its description in RNAcentral is "long non-coding RNA (GBAR_LNC016393)". Lineage: Eukaryota; Viridiplantae; Streptophyta; Magnoliopsida; Malvales; Malvaceae. The record is from RNAcentral.
GAAAGCAAAACUUUCUUUCUUUUUCUCUCUUCUCACGUUGGUUGCAUGGAAGAAGAAGAUGAUGGGUUGGUUCCUUUUCAUCUUUCUUUCCACAUAUAUAUAUAUAUACUAAAUAAAUUAAUAAUAAAAUAAUAAAAUAUCAUUUAAAAAUCAAAUUAAAAUAUUAAUAAACUAAUAAUUAAUUAAUUAAUCUAAAAUAUCACCAACAUCAUCAUUGCCUUCUAGAUUUCUCUCUCUUCUAAUUGACCAUUUUGCCCUUAUGUUCUUUUAAAAUUCCA